UACAAUUUUGUUUCUCUCUAUGCUCAAGCUGUUACCAGCAAAUUGCAACUCUAAUCUCACACUUGGCUUGGUUAGCAUGCACUUUGUAUUUCACCCCAAUUUUGUUGUUGUUUUUUAACCUUUCCUUACUCAGCUUUAGGCCAGAACGUCCAGAUUCAAAGUUUUGGCACUGUCUUUGAGAGUCCUAUUUUCCCAGGGGAAACACAGCAGGAAAAUGUAAGUUGCCUUACCUAACAAAUCCUUCCAGUCAUGUACAACCUCGGAAGGGCAAACCAGUCUUCAUCAACAUAUUUUUGCUGUCUGGUGAAGUAUAAAAAGCGUGAAGCAGAAAGGCAGAUUGGAACACCUGUGGCUAUUAUGAAAACCACGCCACUUCCCAGCCUUGCGUGUUUUCUGCUCAGAAGGUAUGCACCUGUCAGCCACAGCUGAAAACCCAGCAAUCGAGGGCCCAGAGCUAGGGCUCAGAUGAGUUGACUGAGGAAUUAGAAGGAUUUCAAAAUAAGCCUAUUAAUUCUGUUGGAUUGAAAUAUCUUCCAUCUUCACACAGCCAAAGAUAGCUGAACUUUUGUUUGACAUUUUACACAGUGUCUUAUGCCUGCCUGAAAGAAAGGGUGCAGGUCUUCACAGAAUGGGGAAAGUCCAGAGAUGAUCUGGACUCCAGAGACAAUAGCUUGGAUUCUGAGCUGUCACUUACCAGCCAAAAGGGAAUCCUGGCCCGGUCAUUGAAGUUCCCUGAGUCUCAACUACCUCAUCUGUAAAAGGGUCUCAUCAGGCCCACAUUAGAUUAUCUAUUCGACCAUCAGUUCGAGCUCUAAGGUAAAGAUGUAGAGCAACCGGAACUUUCAUACACUGCUGCAACCACUUUGGAGACUAUCAGCUUUUUCCACUAAAGCUGAACAUUAUAGUCUAGAAAUUGCACUCCUGAGCAGGAUGAGACAGCAUCCACACGAAAAUAAUCCUCUACAGACUCUCCAAGCAUGUCCGCUGUAGGCAGGAGUUAUCCUACAACCUUCCCAUCCUGGGAGGAGAGAUGUUUCCCUGUUGGGAAUUGAUGCCAAUGAUGUUCAAAGUGACCACAUUAAGAAGUAAAGCUCCAGGGAACCAGGAAAGAAAUAAAAACAAAAAAGAAAGCCACACACAGGUACUAUUUACUAGAUAAUAAAGACAAAUGUGUUCAUACCCUGUCAUCUCAGGCAUGAGUCACCCGGGUAACGCACUUAGAGAGCAGGCCCUGUUAGGAAACCCUGCCAAGUUUCUCACUCUCCUUUCUGGCCUCCAUUCUUAUCUUCCUGCUCUUUUUGAGGCUUCGGUGAGGGCUUUCAAUUCUUUCUGUGCUUCGUUAAGUAUCCCUCUUUGAGCCAGGACCACAGGUGUGUUGGUAGGUGAGGGAAGUAGAAAGCAGGAAGAUAAAUGCAAUCACAGGUUUCCCCGAGACUGAAUCAGGAGAGGCAAGAACACAUCUACUGCUCUGUUUUCCUUGCCUGUUUUCCUUUUGUGCCCUGACCAAAAUGACUCAUGCUGCUUUGCUCUGGGCAGGCCCUCAAGCCUGGCACCCUGUGGGCUACAUGGAUUCGGGCACGCAUUCUUCAUUUCUCCAAAGGAGUCAUUUUAGCUCGGUUGACUAACAAUGCAGACCCAACUAUACGAAACUUGCUAACAAAGGUCAGUACACCAAAGAAGAGGGAGUUACCAGCAAAAGAAGACCACAGUUAACAAAAGCUGCCAAGAGUUACAGAAUCUACGGCCUGUAUGGCAUCUGAGCUGUAGGUCACAUUCUCCAGCACUGAGGCUUGGAAUGCUUUGUUGGGGAGGAGAUUCUCUGGAUUAAUUAUUUUCAAAAGGUUACCUUGGGGGAAAACUGUGACCUUGCCCUCUAGAAAUAUUUCACCACAUCAGGAUUAUUAGGGCUGU
Non-coding RNA from Macaca mulatta (Rhesus monkey), 1911 nucleotides. Lineage: Eukaryota; Metazoa; Chordata; Mammalia; Primates; Cercopithecidae. The record is from RefSeq and is a predicted model, not a curated record.